RNAcentral lists this ribosomal RNA (441 nucleotides) under uncultured bacterium. RNAcentral describes it as "partial 16S ribosomal RNA". It matches the Rfam family "Bacterial small subunit ribosomal RNA", at positions 338 to 795 of the family's 1533-position model. The record is from RNAcentral.
CCUACGGGUGACAGCAGUGGGGAAUAUUGCACAAUGGGGGAAACCCUGAUGCAGCAACGCCGCGUGAGUGAAGAAGGAUUUCGGUAUGUAAAGCUCUAUCAGCCGGGACGAAGAAAGCCGGUACCUGUCUAAGAAGCCCCGGCUAACUACGUGCCAGCAGCAGCGGUAAUUCGUAGGUGGCAACCGUUAUCCGGAUUUACGGGGUGUAAAGGGAGCGUAGACGGCUGUGCAAGUCUGAAGUGAAAGCCCGUGGCUCAACCGCGGAACUGCCUUGGAAACUGUAUAGCUUGAGUACUGGAGAGGCAGGCGGAAUUCCUAGUGUAGCGGUGAAAUGCGUAGAUAGUAGGAGGAACACCAGUGGCGAAGGCGGCCAUCUGGACAGAAACUGACGUUGAGGCUCGAAAGCGUGGGGAGCAAACAGGAUUAGAUACCCCUGUAGUC